This 376-nucleotide ribosomal RNA is filed under the name uncultured cyanobacterium. RNAcentral's name for it is "bacterial SSU rRNA". It matches the Rfam family "Bacterial small subunit ribosomal RNA", at positions 376 to 770 of the family's 1533-position model. Lineage: Bacteria; Bacillati; Cyanobacteriota. The record is from RNAcentral.
CGAAAGCUGACGGAGCACGCGCGUGAGGGAUGAAGGCCUCUGGGCUGUAAACCUCUUUUCUCAAGGAAGAAGAUCUGACGGUACUUGAGGAAUAAGCCACGGCUAAUUCCGUGCCAGCAGCCGCGGUAAUACGGGAGUGGCAAGCGUUAUCGGAAUUAUUUGGGCGUAAAGCGUCCGCAGGCGGCUGUUUAAGUCUGUCGUUAAAGCGUGGAGCUUAACUCCAUUUAAGCGAUGGAAACUGCAAGACUAGAGUGUGGUAGGGGCAGAGGGAAUUCCCGGUGUAGCGGUGAGAUGCGUAGAUAUCGGGAAGAACACCAGUGGCGAAGGCGCUCUGCUGGGCCAUAACUGACGCUCAUGGACGAAAGCCAGGGGAGCG